CAGCGCCGCGGGAAUACAGAGGGUGCAAGCGUUAAUCGGAAUUACUGGGCGUAAAGCGCGCGUAGGUGGUUCGCCAAGUUGGAUGUGAAAUCCCCGGGCUCAACCUGGGAACUGCAUCCAAAACUGGCGAGCUAGAGUAUGGUAGAGGGUGGUGGAAUUUCCUGUGUAGCGGUGAAAUGCGUAGAUAUAGGAAGGAACAUCAGUGGCGAAGGCGACCACCUGGACUGAUACUGACACUGAGGUGCGAAAGCGUGGGGAGCAAACAGGAUUAGAUACCCCGGUAGUCCCUGUCUCUUAUACA
RNAcentral lists this ribosomal RNA (301 nucleotides) under uncultured bacterium. RNAcentral describes it as "partial 16S ribosomal RNA". It matches the Rfam family "Bacterial small subunit ribosomal RNA", at positions 509 to 808 of the family's 1533-position model. The record is from RNAcentral.